CAUCACGUCACAGUCAUGGCCAUGAUUUAGUGGGUGCUCCAGUCUCUGCCUGCAGGGCAGAGGAAGCAGCUGAGGAGCGUGGCAGUUGAGCUGGGAGAAGGAGAAACCAGGAGGACUGCCACUGAGCCUGGACCCUUGAAUCUCCAUGAAGGUGUUCUGGCUCCUAGUCAAGUUAUUCCUCAUUGCUCAGCUGCAAGCGGUCAUGAAAAUACUGGGCUUCCACACUUUCGGGAGACAGCUCUGCUCGUCAGUUCUGAUAUUUGUCCUGUCCUUGCGAAGGGUGAAGCUGUGGAAUGCUGUGAGAAGGAGCACACGGAUAAGCACAACCCAGAGGGAAACUGUGCAGAGGUAUAUGAGGACGACAGCGAGGAUUGUAGACAAUCGAGAGAGAUUGAGACAGCAGAUUCUGCUCUAUCAGCUGCCCCAUGGCUGCAGGUUGCACGUGGUGGAUAGAAGAGAUUGCAUCCUAUGUAGGCGGUAGCAGCCCCUCUCAACACCACCAGCCCAGUAGUCACAUGGACUGCACGGGCUGAGACAUAUCCAUUUUGAGGAGUGUUGAGAUAAUGUAUAGAGACAAGAAUGGCUGUAAGGAGCAGGUCAGUGGUGAGCCCAGACUUGACAGGAUAAAACACAGAUCUCCUAAAAA
Coturnix japonica (Japanese quail) is the source of this 646-nucleotide non-coding RNA. Lineage: Eukaryota; Metazoa; Chordata; Aves; Galliformes; Phasianidae. The record is from RefSeq and is a predicted model, not a curated record.